RNAcentral lists this ribosomal RNA (1387 nucleotides) under bacterium P2-20-7. RNAcentral describes it as "16S ribosomal RNA". It matches the Rfam family "Bacterial small subunit ribosomal RNA". The record is from RNAcentral.
AGUCGAGCGGAGCGAGGGUGCUUGCCCUUAGCUUAGCGGCGGACGGGUGAGUAAUGCUUAGGAAUCUGCCUAUUACUGGGGGACGACAUUCCGAAAGGGAUGCUAAUACCGCAUACGCCCUACGGGGGAAAGCAGGGGAUCUUCAGACCUUGCGCUAAUAGAUGAGCCUAAGUCGGAUUAGCUAGUUGGUGGGGUAAAGGCCUACCAAGGCGACGAUCUGUAGCGGGUCUGAGAGGAUGAUCCGCCACACUGGGACUGAGACACGGCCCAGACUCCUACGGGAGGCAGCAGUGGGGAAUAUUGGACAAUGGGGGGAACCCUGAUCCAGCCAUGCCGCGUGUGUGAAGAAGGCCUUUUGGUUGUAAAGCACUUUAAGCGAGGAGGAGGCGCUCUAGGAUAAUACCCUAGAUGCGUGGACGUUACUCGCAUAAUAAGCACCGGCUAACUCUGUGCCAGCAGCCGCGGUAAUACAGAGGGUGCGAGCGUUAAUCGGAUUUACUGGGCGUAAAGCGCGCGUAUGUGGCUAAUUAAGUCAAAUGUGAAAUCCCCGAGCUUAACUUGGGAAUUGCAUUCGAUACUGGUUAGCUAGAGUAUGGAAGAGGAUGGUAGAAUUCCAUGUGUAGCGGUGAAAUGCGUACAGAUCUGGAGGAAUACCGAUGGAGAAGGCAGGCAUCUGCCCUAAUACUGACACUGACGUGCACAAGCAUGGGGAGCAAACAGGAUUAGAUACCCUGGUAGUCCAUGCCGUAAACGAUGUCUACUACCCGUUGGGCCUUCGAGGCUUUAUUGGCGCAGCUAACGCGAUAAGUAGACCGCCUGGGGAGUACGGUCGCAAGACUAAAACUCAAAUGAAUAGACGGGGGCCCGCACAAGCGCUGGAGCAUGAUGGUUUAAUUCGAUGCAACGCGAAGAACAUUACCUGGCCUUGACAUACAGAGAACUUUCCAGAGAUGGAUUGGUCCCUUCGGGAACUGUGAUACAGGUGCUGCAUGGCUGUUGUCAGCUCGUGUUGUGAGAUGUUGGGUUAAGUCCCGCAACGAGCGCAACCCUUUUCCUUACUUUCCAGCAUUUCGGAUGGGCACUUUAAGGAUACUGCCAGUGACAAACCGGAGGAAGGCGGGGAUGACGUCAAGUCAUCAUGGCCCUUACGGCCAGGGCUACACACGUGCUACAAUGGUCGGUACAAAGGGUUGCCACACAGCGAUGUGAUGCCAAUCUCAAAAAGCCGAUCGUAGUCCGGAUUGGAGUCUGCAACUCGACUCCAUGAAGUCGGAAUCGCUAGUAAUCGCGGAUCAGAAUGCCGCGGUGAAUACGUUCCCGGGCCUUGUACACACCGCCCGUCACACCAUGGGAGUUUGUUGCACCAGAAGUAGGUAGUCUAACCUUA